UAGGGAAUCUUCGGCAAUGGGGGGAACCCUGACCGAGCAACGCCGCGUGAGUGAAGAAGGUUUUCGGAUCGUAAAGCUCUGUCGUUAAGGAAGAACGAGUGUGAGAAUGGAAAGUUCAUGCUGUGACGGUACUUAACCAGAAAGGGACGGCUAACUACGUGCCAGCAGCCGCGGUAAUACGUAGGUCCCGAGCGUUGUCCGGAUUUAUUGGGCGUAAAGCGAGCGCAGGCGGUUAGAAAAGUCUGAAGUGAAAGGCAGUGGCUCAACCAUUGUAGGCUUUGGAAACUGUUUAACUUGAGUGCAGAAGGGGAGAGUGGAAUUCCAUGUGUAGCGGUGAAAUGCGUAGAUAUAUGGAGGAACACCGGUGGCGAAAGCGGCUCUCUGGUCUGUAACUGACGCUGAGGCUCGAAAGCGUGGGGAGCGAACAGG
This 429-nucleotide ribosomal RNA is filed under the name Bacteroidota bacterium. Its description in RNAcentral is "Bacteroidetes bacterium partial 16S ribosomal RNA". It matches the Rfam family "Bacterial small subunit ribosomal RNA", at positions 355 to 776 of the family's 1533-position model. RNAcentral also lists the same sequence under 1 other name. Lineage: Bacteria; Pseudomonadati; Bacteroidota. The record is from RNAcentral.